RNAcentral lists this ribosomal RNA (489 nucleotides) under uncultured bacterium. RNAcentral's name for it is "partial 16S ribosomal RNA". It matches the Rfam family "Bacterial small subunit ribosomal RNA", at positions 30 to 506 of the family's 1533-position model. The record is from RNAcentral.
AUUGAACGCUGGCGGCAGGCCUAACACAUGCAAGUCGAACGGUAACAGGAAACAGCUUGCUGUUUCGCUGACGAGUGGCGGACGGGUGAGUAAUGUCUGGGAAACUGCCUGAUGGAGGGGGAUAACUACUGGAAACGGUAGCUAAUACCGCAUAACGUCGCAAGACCAAAGAGGGGGACCUUCGGGCCUCUUGCCAUCGGCUGUGCCCAGAUGGGAUUAGCUAGUAGGUGGGGUAACGGCUCACCUAGGCGACGAUCCCUAGCUGGUCUGAGAGGAUGACCAGCCAAACUGGAACGGAGACACGGUCCAGACCCCUACGGGAGGCAGCAGUGGGGAAUAUUGCACAAUGGGGGCAAGCCUGAGGCAGCCAUGCCGCGUGUAUGAAGAAGGCCUUCGGGUUGUAAAGUACUUUAAGCGGGGAGGAAGGGAGUAAAGUUAAUACCGUUGCUCAUUGACGUUACCCGCAGAAGAAGCACCGGCUAACUCCGU